RNAcentral lists this ribosomal RNA (460 nucleotides) under uncultured bacterium. RNAcentral describes it as "partial 16S ribosomal RNA". It matches the Rfam family "Bacterial small subunit ribosomal RNA", at positions 338 to 795 of the family's 1533-position model. The record is from RNAcentral.
CCUACGGGAGGCAGCAGUGAGGAAUAUUGGUCAAUGGACGAGAGUCUGAACCAGCCAAGUAGCGUGAAGGAUGACUGCCCUAUGGGUUGUAAACUUCUUUUAUAUGGGAAUAAAAUGUUCCACGUGUGGGAUUUUGUAUGUACCAUAUGAAUAAGGAUCGGCUAACUCCGUGCCAGCAGCCGCGGUAAUACGGAGGAUCCGAGCGUUAUCCGGAUUUAUUGGGUUUAAAGGGAGCGUAGGUGGAUUGUUAAGUCAGUUGUGAAAGUUUGCGGCUCAACCGUAAAAUUGCAGUUGAAACUGGCAGUCUUGAGUACAGUAGAGGUGGGCGGAAUUCGUGGUGUAGCGGUGAAAUGCUUAGAUAUCACGAAGAACUCCGAUUGCGAAGGCAGUUCACUGGACUGCAACUGACACUGAGGCUCGAAAGUGUGGAUAUCAAACAGGAUUAGAUACCCCAGUAGUC